RNAcentral lists this long non-coding RNA (1943 nucleotides) under Homo sapiens (human). RNAcentral describes it as "HSALNT0261975". The record is from RNAcentral. Lineage: Eukaryota; Metazoa; Chordata; Mammalia; Primates; Hominidae.
AUUCCCAGGAGACUCAGUCUCAAGCAAUCCUCCCACCUCAGCCUCCCAAGGUGCGUGGACCACAGGUGUGAUCCACUGAACACAGUGGAGUCUCCAGCUCAAAAAACCACUGGGGAAUGGAACAAUUCUGCUUUUGUUUCUUGGCCAGGACUCUCUUAAUCCUGAAAGUCUUGUGAGAAGACAUGGCAAGAAGCCAAGUCAAGCACACACUACGAUGACGGAGAGAGGAGAAGGGUCUUGAUUUUUUCUUUUUUUUAGACUAAGUUUCUUUCUUUUUGCCCAGGCUGCAGUGCAAUGGUGCGAUCUUGGCUCGCUGCAACCUCCGCCUCCCGGGUUCAAGUGAUUCUCUUGCCUCAGCCUGGCGAGUAGCUAGGUUUGGCCAAAAUAUGAACUAGAAAGGCAGGAACCUGGCCAAAGGUGGGGAGCUUGAAUGUUAUUACCUUAUUCCUGCUUGACCUUUACUGCCAACGCCAACACAAAUGGUCAGAGGUCCCUUAUAUGAAAAUCUUCAUGAUCUUGUGGGAAAACCCUGAUUUUUGUAAAGGCUGCAAAACAGGCUCAAAAAUAAAUAAAUAAAUAAAAUUACAUUUAAAAGAGCCAGUUGCAGUGGCUCACGCCUGUAAUCCCACCACUUUGGGAGGCCGAGGUGGGUGGAUCAGCUGAGGUUAGGAUUUCAAGACCAGACUGACCAACAUGGAGAAACACCCUCUCUACUAAAAAUACAAAAAUUAGCCAGGCUUGGUGGCGGGCACCUGUAAUCCCAGCUACUUAGGAGGCUGAGGCAGAAGAAUUGCUUGAGCCCAGGAGGCAAAGGUUGCAAUGAGCCCAGACCAUACCACUGCACUCCAGCCUGGGUGACAAGAGCAAGACUCCAUCUCAAAACAAAAAAAUAAAAUAAAAUAAAAAAUAAAUAAAAAUACAAAAAUUAGCAUGGUGUGGUGGCAUGCAUCACUAAUCCCAGCUACUCAGGAGGCUGAGGCAGGAGAAUUGCUUGAAUGCAGGAGGUGAAGGUUCCAGUGAGCUGAGAUCAUGUCAUUGCACUAUAGCCUGAGUGACAAGAGCAAGACUCCAUCUCAAAAAAUAAAAAUAAAAAACAGGCUGGGUAAAGUGGCUCAAGUCUGUUGGCCAGGCUGGUCUCAAACUGCUGACCUCAAGUGAUCUACCUGCCUUGGCCUCCCAAAGUACUGGGAAAACAGGCAUGAGCCACUGCACCUGACCCAUUCUUCUUAACAUUAACACUUUUUAUGUCAAUUAAUGCGUGAACUCAAUGUUAAGUCAACUCAAACUCAAGUCAAUGUUGAAUCAACUCUAAUGUCAAUUAAAGUUUUAUGAUUUUUUAUAUUCAUUUUAUUUGGAACAAUUAUCUCAAAAAUGAAUUUUCUGAUGUUCUGCAUGGAAUGACCACAGAGUGAAGACCUUGCCACCCUUACAUUUGUAAGGCAUCUGUCCAGUAUGAAUUCUCUGAUGUCUAAUGAGGUGUGAACAUGAAGUAAAGGCUUUGCCACAAUCAUCACACUUGUGAGGUUUCUCUCCUGUAUGAAUUCUAUGUUUUGCAUAGGAUGAAGCUUGACUGAAGACCUUGUCACAGUCAUGAUAUUUGUAAGGUUUCUCUCCAGUAUGAGUUCACUGAUGAACUACAAGUUAUGAAUGACGUCUGAAAAAUUUGCCACAUUUAUUACACUUGUAGAUCUCUCUUCAAUAUGGAUUCUGUAAUGAUUUGCAAUGGUUGUAGCAUUACUGAAGACUUUGUGACAAUCAUUACAUUUGUAAAGUUUCCCUACACCCAUGGAUUGCUUGAUGGUGAAUAAGUGUUGACUGUCCAGUAAAGGCUUUGCCACACUCAUUACACUUGUAAGGUUUCUCUGCAGUAUGAACUCUCUGAUGUUUUGCAAGGCUUGCUUUUUGAUUAAAAACCUUGCCACAUUCAUUACACUUGUAAGGUU